RNAcentral lists this ribosomal RNA (429 nucleotides) under Chloroflexota bacterium. RNAcentral's name for it is "Chloroflexi bacterium partial 16S ribosomal RNA". It matches the Rfam family "Bacterial small subunit ribosomal RNA", at positions 355 to 776 of the family's 1533-position model. The record is from RNAcentral. Lineage: Bacteria; Bacillati; Chloroflexota.
UGGGGAAUAUUGCACAAUGGGCGCAAGCCUGAUGCAGCCAUGCCGCGUGUAUGAAGAAGGCCUUCGGGUUGUAAAGUACUUUCAGUCGGGAGGAAGGUGUCAAGGUUAAUAACCUUGGCAAUUGACGUUACCGACAGAAGAAGCACCGGCUAACUCCGUGCCAGCAGCCGCGGUAAUACGGAGGGUGCAAGCGUUAAUCGGAAUUACUGGGCGUAAAGCGCACGCAGGCGGUUGAUUGAGUCAGAUGUGAAAUCCCCGGGCUUAACCCGGGAAUUGCAUCUGAUACUGGUCAGCUAGAGUCGUGUAGAGGGGGGUAGAAUUCCAUGUGUAGCGGUGAAAUGCGUAGAGAUGUGGGGGAAUACCGGUGGCGAAGGCGGCCCCCUGGACAAAGACUGACGCUCAGGUGCGAAAGCGUGGGGAGCAAACAGG